UACAGAGGGGGCGAGCGUUGUUCGGAAUCACUGGGCGUAAAGGGUGCGUAUGCUGUCGGUUAAGUCUGAUGUGAAAUCCCCGGGCUCAACCCGGGAACUGCGUCCGAUACUGGGGGGCUUGAAUCCGGGAGAGGGAUGUGGAAUUCCAGGUGUAGCGGUGAAAUGCGUAGAUAUCUGGAGGAACACCGAUGGCGAAGGCGGCAUCCUGGACCGAUAUUGACGCUGAGGCGCGAAAGCUAGGGGAGCAAACGGG
Molecule: ribosomal RNA, 253 nt
Filed under: uncultured bacterium
Lineage: Bacteria
Description: partial 16S ribosomal RNA
Rfam family: Bacterial small subunit ribosomal RNA
Source: RNAcentral